This 278-nucleotide long non-coding RNA is filed under the name Lathyrus oleraceus (garden pea). RNAcentral describes it as "Pisum sativum (pea) long non-coding RNA (PSAT_LNC035585)". Lineage: Eukaryota; Viridiplantae; Streptophyta; Magnoliopsida; Fabales; Fabaceae. The record is from RNAcentral.
GAAAUUAUAAAAGUGGUUUUAAUAAUUAUGUGUUGUUGUAAUAAUGAUUUAUUUAAAACAAAUUGUAACGAAAAAUAUUAAUUUUAAAUGGUUGAAAAGAUAUAAGGUGUCGAUUUUUAACUUUUGAGUUAUAAAAUGUUUGAAAUAGAAUACCAUUUCAGUGUAUUUAUGAAAUAAAUAUGUAAACAGGAAUUAAUAAUAAAAUUAUCAAAAUAUUAAAAGAAUGAAAAUUAUAUGUUUCAUAAAAUAAAAAAUUUUAGUUUGAAAAUAUAAAAAAA